AUGCAAGUCGACCGGUAGCCCAGAGAGCUUGCUCUCGGGUGACGAGUGGCGGACGGGUGAGUAAUGUCUGGGAAACUGCCUGAUGGAGGGGGAUAACUACUGGAAACGGUAGCUAAUACCGCAUAACGUCCCAAGGCCAAAGAGGGGGAUCUUAGGGCCUCUCGCCAUCAGAUCUGCCCAGAUGGGAUUAGCUAGUAGGUGGGGUAACGGCUCACCUAGGCGACGAUCCCUAGCUGGUCUGAGAGGAUGACCAGCCACACUGGAACUGAGACACGGUCCAGACUCCUACGGGAGGCAGCAGUGGGGAAUAUUGCACAAUGGGGGCAAGCCUGAUGCAGCCAUGCCGCGUGUCUGAAGAA
RNAcentral lists this ribosomal RNA (359 nucleotides) under Enterobacteriaceae bacterium BTRH72. RNAcentral describes it as "bacterial SSU rRNA". It matches the Rfam family "Bacterial small subunit ribosomal RNA", at positions 55 to 412 of the family's 1533-position model. The record is from RNAcentral. Lineage: Bacteria; Pseudomonadati; Pseudomonadota; Gammaproteobacteria; Enterobacterales; Enterobacteriaceae.